Molecule: long non-coding RNA, 497 nt
Filed under: Prunus dulcis (almond)
Lineage: Eukaryota; Viridiplantae; Streptophyta; Magnoliopsida; Rosales; Rosaceae
Description: sRNA ncRNA
Source: RNAcentral
CCUGUAGUUGCUGGUCACUAAAAGCAUGCUGAACAUUUUCAAACUGUACAGAGGGAGAUGCAGCUGAUAUAGGUUCAAUUCUAGGAAUAGAAUGGGCAGGUAUAGAGCUGGAGCUGACAGAGACCUCACCCUCAGAUAUAUCAGGACCUGCAGAAUCAGACUCUAACUGAGAUGGGAGAGAAAUCAUAAUUGGAGAUGUGUUCAUACCAGAGGAUGAAGUAGAGGACUGCUGUGGAGUGAUGGGAGACACAAAGGGAUAUACAGACUCAUCAUGGAUGACAUCCCUAGAAAUCACACAUUUUGCAGUCGCACAAUUAUAUCCAAUAACCCCUUUAUAUCCAGUAGCAUAUCCUAGAAAUACACACUUAGUUGUGCGAGGUUGUAGCUUGUGCACAUUAUAAUGACGAAGAUAAGGAUAUACAGCUGUACCAAAAACCCUCAAUGAGUGAAUACUAGGAUCCUUUCCAAACAACCGAAAAUAUGGAGCUUGAUUAUCC